This is a long non-coding RNA of Chelonia mydas (Green sea turtle), 138 nucleotides long. RefSeq lists it as uncharacterized. The transcript is spliced from 3 exons. The record is from RefSeq and is a predicted model, not a curated record. NCBI's taxonomy places the organism in Eukaryota, Metazoa, Chordata, Testudines, Cheloniidae.
UCCAACGAAGUGGGUUUUUACCCACAAAAGCUUAUGCUCCAACACGUCUGUUAAUCUACAAGGUGCCAAGGACUCUUUGCCGCUUUUACAGAUCCAGACUAACACGGCUACCCCUCUGAUACUUGAUAACAUGAGAAC